CCUACGGGUGGCAGCAGUGAGGAAUAUUGGUCAAUGGACGAGAGUCUGAACCAGCCAAGUAGCGUGAAGGAUGACUGUCCUAUGGGUUGUAAACUUCUUUUAUAUGGGAAUAAAGUGUUCCACGUGUGGGAUUUUGUAUGUACCAUAUGAACAAGGAUCGGCGCACGCCGUGCCAGCAGCCGCGGUAAUACGGAGGGUCCGAGCGUUACCCGGAUUUAUUGGGUUUAAAGGGAGCGUAGGUGGGUUGUUAAGUCAGUUGUGAAAGUUUGCGGCUCAACCGUAAAAUUGCAGUUGAAACUGGCAGUCGUGAGUGCAGUAGAGGUGGGCGGAAUUCGUGGUGUAGCGGUGAAAUGCUUAGAUAUCACGAAGAACUCCGAUUGCGAAGGCAGCUCACUGGACUGCAACUGACGCUGAGGCUCGAAAGUGUGGGUAUCAAACAGGAUUAGAUACCCUUGUAGUC
RNAcentral lists this ribosomal RNA (460 nucleotides) under uncultured bacterium. RNAcentral describes it as "partial 16S ribosomal RNA". It matches the Rfam family "Bacterial small subunit ribosomal RNA", at positions 338 to 795 of the family's 1533-position model. The record is from RNAcentral.